UCAUCAUCAUCAUCAUGAUCAUGAUCAUCAUCAUGAUCAUGAUCAUCAUCAUGAUCAUCAUCAUGAUCAUCAUCAUGAUCAUCAUCAUGAUCAUCA
This is a non-coding RNA of Paramuricea clavata, 96 nucleotides long. The record is from the annotation of a GenBank genome assembly. Lineage: Eukaryota; Metazoa; Cnidaria; Anthozoa; Malacalcyonacea; Plexauridae.